GGGGAUUUAGCUCAGUGGCAUAAGCACCUGCCUUGCAAGCAGGCAGUCCUGAGUUCGAUCCCUGGUACCCA
This 71-nucleotide transfer RNA is filed under the name Cavia porcellus (domestic guinea pig). It matches the Rfam family "tRNA". From Rfam's summary of the family: Transfer RNA (tRNA) molecules are approximately 80 nucleotides in length. Their secondary structure includes four short double-helical elements and three loops (D, anti-codon, and T loops). The record is from Rfam by way of RNAcentral. Lineage: Eukaryota; Metazoa; Chordata; Mammalia; Rodentia; Caviidae.